GUCGACGCUUGUGUCGCGAUUCAACUGAUUUGAAGAGCUUGCUCAGAUAUGACGAUGGACAUUGCAAAGAGUGGCGAACGGGUGAGUAACACGUGGGAAACCUACCUCUUAGCAGGGGAUAACAUUUGGAAACAGAUGCUAAUACCGUAUAACAAUGACAACCGCAUGGUUGUUAUUUAAAAGAUGGUUCUGCUAUCACUAAGAGAUGGUCCCGCGGUGCAUUAGCUAGUUGGUAAGGUAAUGGCUUACCAAGGCGAUGAUGCAUAGCCGAGUUGAGAGACUGAUCGGCCACAAUGGGACUGAGACACGGCCCAUACUCCUACGGGAGGCAGCAGUAGGGAAUCUUCCACAAUGGGCGAAAGCCUGAUGGAGCAACGCCGCGUGUGUGAUGAAGGGUUUCGGCUCGUAAAACACUGUUGUAAGAGAAGAAUGACAUUGAGAGUAACUGUUCAAUGUGUGACGGUAUCUUACCAGAAAGGAACGGCUAAAUACGUGCCAGCAGCCGCGGUAAUACGUAUGUUCCAAGCGUUAUCCGGAUUUAUUGGGCGUAAAGCGAGCGCAGACGGUUAUUUAAGUCUGAAGUGAAAGCCCUCAGCUCAACUGAGGAAUUGCUUUGGAAACUGGAUGACUUGAGUGCAGUAGAGGAAAGUGGAACUCCAUGUGUAGCGGUGAAAUGCGUAGAUAUAUGGAAGAACACCAGUGGCGAAGGCGGCUUUCUGGACUGUAACUGACGUUGAGGCUCGAAAGUGUGGGUAGCAAACAGGAUUAGAUACCC
Molecule: ribosomal RNA, 775 nt
Filed under: Weissella confusa
Lineage: Bacteria; Bacillati; Bacillota; Bacilli; Lactobacillales; Lactobacillaceae
Description: bacterial SSU rRNA
Rfam family: Bacterial small subunit ribosomal RNA
Source: RNAcentral